This 253-nucleotide ribosomal RNA is filed under the name uncultured bacterium. Its description in RNAcentral is "partial 16S ribosomal RNA". It matches the Rfam family "Bacterial small subunit ribosomal RNA", at positions 524 to 776 of the family's 1533-position model. The record is from RNAcentral.
UACGGGGGGUGCAAGCGUUAAUCGGAAUUACUGGGCGUAAAGGGUGCGUAGGUGGUUUGAUAAGUUGGCUGUAAAAUUCCUGGGCUUAACCUGGGGAGGUCAGCCAAGACUGUUAGACUUGAGUAUGGGAGAGGGUAGUGGAAUUUCCGGUGUAGCGGUGAAAUGCGUAGAGAUCGGAAGGAACACCGGUGGCGAAGGCGGCUACCUGGCCUAAUACUGACACUGAGGCACGAAAGCGUGGGGAGCAAACAGG